UGCAAGUCGAACGGGAAUCUUCGGAUUCUAGUGGCGGACGGGUGAGUAACGCGUAAGAAUCUAACUUCAGGACGGGGACAACAGUUGGAAACGACUGCUAAUACCCGAUGUGCCGAAAGGUGAAACCUAAUUGGCCUGAAGAAGAGCUUGCGUCUGAUUAGCUAGUUGGUGGGGUAAGAGCCUACCAAGGCGACGAUCAGUAGCUGGUCUGAGAGGAUGAGCAGCCACACUGGGACUGAGACACGGCCCAGACUCCUACGGGAGGCAGCAGUGGGGAAUUUUCCGCAAUGGGCGAAAGCCUGACGGAGCAACGCCGCGUGAGGGAGGAAGGUCUUUGGAUUGUAAACCUCUUUUCUCAAGGAAGAAGUUCUGACGGUACUUGAGGAAUCAGCCUCGGCUAACUCCGUGCCAGGAGCGGCGGUAAUACGGGGGAGGCAAGCGUUAUCCGGAAUUAUUGGGCGUAAAGCGUCCGCAGGUGGUCAGCCAAGUCUGCCGUCAAAUCAGGUUGCUUAACGACCUAAAGGCGGUGGAAACUGGCAGACUAGAGAGCAGUAGGGGUAGCAGGAAUUCCCAGUGUAGCGGUGAAAUGCGUAGAGAUUGGGAAGAACAUCGGUGGCGAAAGCGUGCUACUGGGCUGUAUCUGACACUCAGGGACGAAAGCUAGGGGAGCGAAAGGGAUUAGAUACCCCUGUAGUCCUAG
RNAcentral lists this ribosomal RNA (700 nucleotides) under uncultured bacterium. RNAcentral describes it as "bacterial SSU rRNA". It matches the Rfam family "Bacterial small subunit ribosomal RNA", at positions 56 to 799 of the family's 1533-position model. The record is from RNAcentral.